RNAcentral lists this transfer RNA (72 nucleotides) under Wenjunlia vitaminophila. Its description in RNAcentral is "Streptomyces vitaminophilus tRNA". It matches the Rfam family "tRNA". Rfam says of the family: Transfer RNA (tRNA) molecules are approximately 80 nucleotides in length. Their secondary structure includes four short double-helical elements and three loops (D, anti-codon, and T loops). The record is from Rfam by way of RNAcentral. Lineage: Bacteria; Bacillati; Actinomycetota; Actinomycetes; Kitasatosporales; Streptomycetaceae.
CGACGUGUAGCUCAGCAGUAGAGCACCAGGCUUCUUACCUGGGGGGCGCGGGGGCAGGACCCGCCACGUCGG